Molecule: transfer RNA, 77 nt
Filed under: Nitrososphaerota archaeon
Lineage: Archaea; Thermoproteati; Nitrososphaerota
Description: Thaumarchaeota archaeon tRNA-OTHER
Rfam family: tRNA
About the family: Transfer RNA (tRNA) molecules are approximately 80 nucleotides in length.
Source: RNAcentral
AUCCCAGUAGCUCAACCUGGCCAGAGCCCGGUCCCUAAAACCUGGAGACGCGAGUUCGAUGCUCGCCUGGGGUGCCA